AAAAAUACGCGGAGGAGGUGGUCCGGGUCGGCGUCGGCGCCGUCCGGCGCGGGCCACGGGCCCGCUUCCAAGUGCGUCUGCGCGCCGGCCACCCACGCCGGGUCCUUCAAGUGCCGCUUCCAUCACACCAACUCCCAGGGUCACGGCCACGGCCAGGGCCAGGGAAGCCGCCCUUCUUCGCCCCCUUCACCGGCCGCGGCCAACGCGGUGCCGCGGCACCCGGCCUCGCCGUCCUCGUCCUCCGGCACCGUCGCGACCCAGUGA
This 264-nucleotide ribosomal RNA is filed under the name Triticum aestivum (bread wheat). Its description in RNAcentral is "partial small subunit ribosomal RNA". Lineage: Eukaryota; Viridiplantae; Streptophyta; Magnoliopsida; Poales; Poaceae. The record is from RNAcentral.